Molecule: transfer RNA, 63 nt
Filed under: marine eukaryotic metagenome
Rfam family: tRNA
About the family: Transfer RNA (tRNA) molecules are approximately 80 nucleotides in length. Their secondary structure includes four short double-helical elements and three loops (D, anti-codon, and T loops).
Source: RNAcentral
CUGUAGCUCAAUGGAUAGAGCAAGGGACUCCUAAGCCCGAGAUCUAGGUUCGAUUCCUAGUGG